UGGCGGCAUGCCUAACACAUGCAAGUCGAACGCUUUUGGGGGUUUCGGCCUCCAGGRAGAGUGGCGCACGGGUGAGUAGCGCGUGGGAACCUGCCCCUUUGUGGGGGAUAACCGAGGGAAACUUCGGCUAAUACCGCAUGCGCCCGGGAAACCGGGGAAAGAUUUAUCGCAGAGGGAGGGGCCCGCGUCGGAUUAGCUAGUUGGUGGGGCAACGGCCUACCAAGGCGAUGAUCCGUAGCUGGUCUGAGAGGAUGAUCAGCCACACUGGGACUGAGACACGGCCCAGACUCCUACGGGAGGCAGCAGUGGGGAAUAUUGGACAAUGGGCGCAAGCCUGAUCCAGCAAUGCCGCGUGAGUGAUGAAGGCCUUAGGGUUGUAAAGCUCUUUCGGCGGGGACGAUGAUGACGGUACCCGCAGAAGAAGCCCCGGCUAACUUCGUGCCAGCAGCCGCGGUAAUACGAAGGGGGCGAGCGUUGUUCGGAUUUACUGGGCGUAAAGGGCGCGUAGGCGGCCUUCAAG
This 520-nucleotide ribosomal RNA is filed under the name uncultured Alphaproteobacteria bacterium. RNAcentral describes it as "bacterial SSU rRNA". It matches the Rfam family "Bacterial small subunit ribosomal RNA", at positions 37 to 586 of the family's 1533-position model. Lineage: Bacteria; Pseudomonadati; Pseudomonadota; Alphaproteobacteria. The record is from RNAcentral.